AUUGAACGCUGGCGGCAUGCUUUACACAUGCAAGUCGAACGGCAGCGCGGGCUUCGGCCUGGCGGCGAGUGGCGAACGGGUGAGUAAUACAUCGGAACGUGCCCAGUAGUGGGGGAUAGCUCGGCGAAAGCCGGAUUAAUACCGCAUACGACCUGAGGGUGAAAGCGGGGGAUCUUCGGACCUCGCGCUAUUGGAGCGGCCGAUGGCAGAUUAGCUAGUUGGUGGGGUAAAGGCCUACCAAGGCGACGAUCUGUAGCUGGUCUGAGAGGACGACCAGCCACACUGGGUCUGAGACACGGCCCAGACUCCUACGGGAGGCAGCAGUGGGGAAUUUUGGACAAUGGGCGAAAGCCUGAUCCAGCAAUGCCGCGUGUGUGAUGAAGGCCUUCGGGUUGUAAAGCACUUUUGGCGGGAACGAAAAGGACUGUGCCAAUACCACGGUUCGAUGACGGUACCCGCAGAAUAAGCACCGGCUAACUAUGU
RNAcentral lists this ribosomal RNA (483 nucleotides) under uncultured bacterium. Its description in RNAcentral is "partial 16S ribosomal RNA". It matches the Rfam family "Bacterial small subunit ribosomal RNA", at positions 30 to 506 of the family's 1533-position model. The record is from RNAcentral.